Molecule: long non-coding RNA, 889 nt
Organism: Asparagus officinalis (garden asparagus)
Lineage: Eukaryota; Viridiplantae; Streptophyta; Magnoliopsida; Asparagales; Asparagaceae
Exons: 2
Source: RefSeq, a predicted model, not a curated record
UCGAGCCGAUCGCGACGCCAAGAUAUGCUGCAUUCCUCCCUCUUCCUCGCCGCCCGACGCCGUGAUUCCUCCCUCUUCCUCGCCGCCCGACGCCGUGAUUCCUCCCGCCUCCCGCUGUCGACGCCGGCAUCGACGCCAAGAUCCGUGAUUCCUCCCUCUUCCUCGCCGCCCGACGUCGUGAUUCCUCCCUCUUCCUCGUCGCCCGACGCCGUGAUUCCUCCCGCCUCCCGCUGUCGAGCCGACGCCGACGCCGAGAUAAGGUUAUCCAUAACAAGAAAGAGUUUCUAUAUUGUGAAGAGAGGUCGAUGAUGUGGCAUUUUCGAUAAUUGGGAGGAAUGCAAAUCUCAAGUUGAUAAAUUCCCAAAUGCCUCCUACAAAGGGUUUGAAACGUACGAAGAUGCUUUGCUUGAAUGGGAGAAGCACACCAUUGCUCGUGAUUCAGCAUCCAGUUCAAGGCAUGUCCUGACACCAGUUCAAUUUCAACAACAAAUACUUCCGUCGGGACAUAAUCUGGAUGAGGACAAGGCAAAACUUGGGGAAACUGCUAUUUCCUCCAUUUAUGCUUUUGUAUUAGGUUCGGUGUUUACAAUAUUAGUGUUUCUAGUAUGUAUCAUUGCCGUGUUUGUUGGUUUCUCCAUUGCAAAAAACAUGUGAUGUGAUUUGUGGAUGAUUCUUCUAUGUGAGGAUAAGCUUGUAUAACUUGGGUCAUUUUGUACUGAGUUUGAACUCAAUUUUCACAAUGUUUGAAGUCAGUUUGUGGUCAUUUUUGUCCUCAGUUUGUACUCAAUCAUGAGCUUGUUUGUGGUCAGUUUGUCCUCAAAUGUUAGCUUAUUUGUGAUCAUUUUGUGCUCUGAUUAGUACAUAAAUAAAUAAAAGUGUUCACUUUUCA